UACGUAGGGGCAAGCGUUGUCCGGAAUCAUUGGGCGUAAAGCGCGUGUAGGCGGCCAGAAAAGUCCGCUGUGAAAACUCGAGGCUCAACUUCGAGCUGUCGGUGGAAACUUUCUGGCUAGAGUCCGGAAGAGGAGAAUGGAAUUCCUGGUGUAGCGGUGAAAUGCGCAGAUAUCAGGAAGAACACCCGUGGCGAAGGCGGUUCUCUGGGACGGUACUGACGCUGGAGACGCGAAAGCCGUGGGGAGCGAACAGG
This 254-nucleotide ribosomal RNA is filed under the name uncultured bacterium. Its description in RNAcentral is "partial 16S ribosomal RNA". It matches the Rfam family "Bacterial small subunit ribosomal RNA", at positions 524 to 776 of the family's 1533-position model. The record is from RNAcentral.